RNAcentral lists this long non-coding RNA (767 nucleotides) under Monodelphis domestica (gray short-tailed opossum). Its description in RNAcentral is "lncRNA (ENSMODG00000046960.1)". Lineage: Eukaryota; Metazoa; Chordata; Mammalia; Didelphimorphia; Didelphidae. The record is from RNAcentral.
CUUAAAGUGAAAAGAGCCUAAGGCCAGGCACUUGAAACUCACAGUAUGCUGAGAUAUACAUAGUCUAGUGUUUGUUCAUCAGGUGAUAAUCAGCUAAUAAACAUUUAUUCAGCCCCUCCUCACCAGGUGCCAGGAAAUUGUAGGGAAGGGGGAUGGAAGAUACUAUACGCUUUCCUUUUAUUAAGUGAGAUUCAAUUAUUCUUUUAAAUACUUUAUUUCAGUAGCAUGAGGGGAGAAGGAGAAGUGGAGUUGCUUAGUUGGAGCAAAGAGAGUGUUUCAGGAAGCCACAGACCAGAUGGAGAGGCAGGGAAGCUGAACCACAAAUUGGAAAUGAGGCCAAGAAAGAGACAAGCAACAUUUUGGUGACCGAGAUUCAAUGGUACUUCAUAACAAGAAGCCUUCACUUGUCAUGUAUGGCUUCCAAAAGACUCCCCAAAAGUUCUCACUUAGUUUCUUACGUGGACCCACGAUAUAUCCAAACUGCAAUGGGGAAAAUCGUGCUGUGGAAGUAUGCCAUCUGUAUGCCAUCAACAAAUAGAGCUGGCAAGAACAUCUGUUGACAUCAAGGAAGGCGGAAAUUCGCUAGCCAGACUUCAACAGAAACCUUGGCACAACUGGUGAAUGUGAGUGGAAAAAUGAGUGUCAUAAUUUUGUGAGCACGGCUGGUGAUGCGUACAUAUCUAUGUAUCUUUGUAAGGUUUCCUUUUCAAACAUGACAGCCAUUAAACUGAAUAUCAGAAUAAAUUGAACUUCAAAUCAUUCUAGCA